UACGUAGGGUCCGAGCGUUGUCCGGAUUUAUUGGGCGUAAAGAGCUCGUAGGCGGUUCCGUAAGUCGGAUGUGAAAACUCGGGGCUCAACCCCGAGACGCCAUCCGAUACUGCGGUGACUUGAGUCUGGUAGGGGAACACGGAAUUCCUGGUGUAGCGGUGAAAUGCGCAGAUAUCAGGAGGAACACCGGUGGCGAAGGCGGUUCUCUGGGCAUUACCUGACGCUGAGGAGCGAAAGUGUGGGGAGCGAACAGG
Molecule: ribosomal RNA, 254 nt
Filed under: uncultured bacterium
Lineage: Bacteria
Description: partial 16S ribosomal RNA
Rfam family: Bacterial small subunit ribosomal RNA
Source: RNAcentral